UAAGCUUACACUUAAGCUUAAUUUUCUUUACUCAACCUUAAUAACUCCCAUAAAAAGCUCACUAGAGCUUAUUAUCUCAACUCAAGAAGAAGAUUGAAAGAAGAAAGAAGAAGAAAAGAUAGAGAUUUGGAGUCCUAAGAAAGGUUAGUAUGCUAAUUUUUAAUUUUCUGCUUUAAGUGCAAGUUUAGUUACUUAAAUGAAUUUAGAAACUAAUGUAAUGAAAUAAAAAUAUGUGGGGAGGACCAAACUGAAAUUUCGGUCAGCUUGAUGGGGAGUAUGAUUUACAUAGUUUGAUGGAUUUGAAUGAGCUUAUGGACCUCCAAUAGUUGAAUGAUUAUGGUUGAGAGCUUUGAAAUUAGCUAAAUGCAAUUAAUUAGUGUGGUUAGGGUUUGAGACCUAGAGUUUUGAGGCAAAAAAUUGGAGAAAUGAGUAAAUGAUAUGUUUGACCUAUUGUGAAGUGAA
RNAcentral lists this unclassified non-coding RNA (462 nucleotides) under Hevea brasiliensis (rubber tree). Lineage: Eukaryota; Viridiplantae; Streptophyta; Magnoliopsida; Malpighiales; Euphorbiaceae. The record is from RNAcentral.